Molecule: long non-coding RNA, 2317 nt
Organism: Dendrobium catenatum
Lineage: Eukaryota; Viridiplantae; Streptophyta; Magnoliopsida; Asparagales; Orchidaceae
Exons: 2
Source: RefSeq, a predicted model, not a curated record
AAGAUAUCGUGUGCGAUAAGUCCCUGCUCCGCCUUGCCCUAUCCCGAACUGCCUCCUUCCUCUUAUUAUUUGUUCAUUUUGCUUAAGCGUAUAUUCCUCCAACAGAUGAAUACCUAAUCGAGGCCUCCUUAUCCCCUUAUUAUUCUUUCAUCUUGCUCAAGCACCGCAUUUCUACUGUGGCAUGCAUGCAAUUCGUCGAUCCCUGCCACUACUUCAAGAUGGCUGAACUAGGGCUCUUAAGGUUCUUAAUUUGCAAUUUCUGAACGAUCGAUAGACUGUCGUAAUCGUCGAAUGCAAAUUGUUUUUUACAUAGAAAAAGGUAAAUCUUCUGACCUUAUCAUGAUCUUCUCUAUCGCUGAUUUUGAAAUUUAUUAAUUAGGCCAUUGGUGUUCGCUUGAGUUAGUUGUUGGAUUCGUUGCAUCCUGAUUCCACAAAGGUUUUUAGCAAUUAAUAUAAGUAGGCAAUCGAGUAUUGCAAUAAGGUUAUAGAAGGUAGACUUAUAAUAUUUGUGUAAAUAUUUAUGAAGACCCAAAUUCAAUCGGUAAGGAAAAUAGAUAUAAUUUUUUUCGGAGGAUUAUAAUGAAAAAAAAAAAUAUAGUUCCUAGUUAUUGGGGCUUUUUUAUGUUGUGUGUGAAGAUUUAUGGAAACUAGAGUUAGCAUGUCUAAAAUAUUGAGAGGACUGGCCAAGACGCUGAUUAAGCUGACCCUAGGAGUUGGGCUUAAGGAUGAUGAUGUCAGGGUACUAAAUUCAUGGUAGCUUAAAUUGCUUGCAAAUUGUAAUAUAUUUUGUAGUUGGCUUAUCUUAGUUAUAAGGGUGUCAAAACCGGGUCACGGGUCGGGUUCGUGUCAAACCCGAACCGACCCGGUAAUGGAUAAGGGUCAAUAUUCAGGACCCGAACCCGACCCGAGUCAGGUUCGGGUCAACCCGGAAUGACCCGCUAACCCGAUUUAUUUUCAAAAAAAAAAUUCAAAAACACAAACACAGAAAGUUAUAAACAGAAAUUUGCAUAAAUAAAAAUUUUAUUUAAGAAUCAAAACCAAUUUGUUAAUUACAAUAUACAAAUUAUACAAAAUAUUAAACUAUCAAAUAAAUUACACAAAUAAUUACAAUUUUUAAAAAUGUCAAACCAUAAUCGCAAUUUACAAAAUCUUCAACUCCUUGAUGUCUUGACUCUUGUGCCUACGGCCUGCCCUCAUAGAAAAAAACUAACUGCAAAAAAUAUAAACAAUUAAAUAGAUAUAAUUUGAAAUCCAUGAAUUAGUUGAAAGCUUGAGUUAUUAGCUCAGAUCAACCCUCCAAAUAAUUCAUCAUUCAAUGAAAUGUGAGUCAACAAUAUAAUUUUUUUCGGUUGCGGACUUGCGAAUCUAGAAAUUGCCAUCCAAGGUGCCAUUUUGUAUUUUAUACUUAGUAUCUGUUUGAUUAACCCUCCAAAUGUCACCUGGUUGCAAUAACUUAUUUCCCACAAUUGACUUCACAAUAAGUUUAGAAGGGUACUGUUGACCCCUAACAUAGGAUCCUUGCCUAUAGAUAACCUCAUCAGUAGAGGCAAAGCUAAGGAGCUUGUUAUGUAGUGGUUGAGGAAGCCAUCAAAUGAUCCUCGGACAAGUUCGUACAGAAGCAUUUCCUUUUUUAUCUAUAAUGGGCCAUGGUGGUAUGUGCAAGACAACGCUCUUACAACCUGUUUAUGAAGAUGGAAUGACAAAGGAAUUUGACCUUAAAAUGUAGGUUUGUGUUUCCAACAACUUUGAUGUAAAAAAAAAAGAAGAAGUCAUUGCACAUAUGUUGGAAUCUCUUAAGAAGGAGAGACCUCAUUUGGAGACGCUUAAGGCACUUCAAGAUAGCCUUUGGACUGAAAUCAUGUUCAAAAAAGUUCUUGCUUGUGCUGGAUGACAUUUUGGGAGGAUGAUGAGAAGCAGGAUAAAGGUAAAAGGGAGAAGGUGCUCGUCUCUUUGACUUAUGGGGUUUUGUUAUUAGAAUUUUGGUGACAACUUCAAUGGGCUCAUCUGCAAUGAUGAUUGCAACGGUCAUUAAAAAAGAAGGCGGAAGUAUUUAGAUUAGAAAGCUUGGGGAAAGGUCAGUGCUGAAGCUCCUCAAUCCGCAUGCAUUUGCUGAUAAGAAGAAUUCUAAUGAUUAUUAAAAGAUUAAGAUCCACCGCUAGAAAGAUGAUUGAAACGCUUUUUGGAUCUCCAUUUGUUGCAAAGGUCAUCGAUAGUGUCGUGAAUUCCUAGGCAAUUCAAAAAAAAAAAAGAUAUAAAGGCCUGCGCUACGAUGGAAAUGAGCCCUCGAAAAUGCUCAGACGACAUCCGAUCGACAAAC